GACGAACGCUGGCGGCGCGCCUAACACAUGCUAGUCGAGCGAUGAAAUUUUAACCGAUCUCUUCGGAGAGAAGAUAAAAUGGAUUAGCGGCGGACGGGUGAGUAACACGUGAGAAACCUGCCUUUCACAAGGGGAUAGCCUCGGGAAACCGGGAUUAAUACCCUAUGACACAUUUCCUUCGCAUGGAAGAAAUGUUAAAACUCCGGUGGUGAAAGAUGGUCUCGCGCCUGAUUAGCUAGUUGGUGGGGUAACGGCCCACCAAGGCCAUGAUCAGUAGCCGGCCUGAGAGGGUGAACGGUCACAUUGGAACUGAGACACGGUCCAAACCCCUACGGGAGGCAGCAGUGGGGAAUAUUGCACAAUGGAGGAAACUCUGAUGCAGCGACGCCGCGUGAGCGAUGAAGGCUUUCGAGUCGUAAAGCUCUGUCCUAUGGGAAGAUAAUGACGGUACCAUAGGAGGAAGCCCCGGCUAACUACGUG
Molecule: ribosomal RNA, 480 nt
Filed under: uncultured bacterium
Lineage: Bacteria
Description: partial 16S ribosomal RNA
Rfam family: Bacterial small subunit ribosomal RNA
Source: RNAcentral